Molecule: ribosomal RNA, 492 nt
Filed under: uncultured bacterium
Lineage: Bacteria
Description: partial 16S ribosomal RNA
Rfam family: Bacterial small subunit ribosomal RNA
Source: RNAcentral
AGUGAACGCUGGCGGUAGGCCUAACACAUGCAAGUCGAACGGCCGCACAGUAAGCGCUUGCUCUUACGGGUGGCGAGUGGCGGACGGGUGAGGAAUACAUCGGCAUCUACUUUUUCGUGGGUGAUAACGUAGGGCAACUUACGCUAAUACCGCAUACGACCUACGGGUGAAAGCAGGAGAUCUUCGGACCUUGCGCGAUUGAAUGAGCCGAUGUCGGAUUAGCUAGUUGGCGGGGUAAAGGCCCACCAAGGCGACGAUCCGUAGCUGGUCUGAGAGGAUGAUCAGCCACACUGGAACUGAGACACGGUCCAGACUCCUACGGGAGGCAGCAGUAGGGAAUAUUGGGCAAUGGGCGCAAGCCUGAUCCAGCCAUACCGCGUGGGUGAAGAAGGCCUUCGGAUCGUAAAGCCCUUUUGUUGGGAAAGAACAGCUGCAUGUUAAUCCCCCGCUGUUCUGACGGUACCCAAACAAUAAGCACCGGCUAACUUCGUG